CCAAACAUACAAGUUACACAAUCACUUCCCAAUGUCAAACCCAACUCUCAUCUCUCACCAAAAGAUCCCAAGAAUACUUUGCACAUAAAACUCUUUUUCUUUGAAAUCUAUAAAUGAUUUUCUCAACUUCUAAACAAAUCUUAGCUCUAAACAACUUUGCUAGCUCUCUUUUCUUUCUUUUUCUCUUUUUUUUUUAUAUAUUUUUUUUCGGGGGCCAAGACUUUUCAUAAACUCGAGCUAGAUGUUUAUCUAUUAAUU
Molecule: long non-coding RNA, 258 nt
Filed under: Brassica napus (rape)
Lineage: Eukaryota; Viridiplantae; Streptophyta; Magnoliopsida; Brassicales; Brassicaceae
Description: long non-coding RNA (BNAP_LNC019772)
Source: RNAcentral